RNAcentral lists this ribosomal RNA (405 nucleotides) under uncultured Bacteroidales bacterium. RNAcentral describes it as "bacterial SSU rRNA". It matches the Rfam family "Bacterial small subunit ribosomal RNA", at positions 980 to 1382 of the family's 1533-position model. Lineage: Bacteria; Pseudomonadati; Bacteroidota; Bacteroidia; Bacteroidales. The record is from RNAcentral.
CUUGAACGUAUGGUGCAUGAGGCGAAAGUUCUCUUUCUAGCAAUUAGACUUCAUACGAGGUGCUGCAUGGUUGUCGUCAGCUCGUGCCGUUGAGGUGUUAGGUUAAGUCCUGCAACGAGCGCAACCCCUAUCUUUAGUUGCCAUCAGGUUAAGCUGGGCACUCUAGAGAGACUGCCUGCGCAAGCAGGAGAGGAAGUGGGGAUGACGCCAAAUCAGCACGGCCCUUACGUCCAGGGCUACACACGUGCUACAAUGGCCGGUACAGAGGGCAGCUACUUAGUGAUAAGAUGCGAAUCUCCAAAGCCGGUCUUAGUUCGGAUCGAAGUCUGCAACUCGACUUCGUGAAGCUGGAUUCGCUAGUAAUCGUAUAUCAGCCAUGAUACGGUGAAUACGUUCCCGGGCCUU